Molecule: long non-coding RNA, 1509 nt
Organism: Ricinus communis (castor bean)
Lineage: Eukaryota; Viridiplantae; Streptophyta; Magnoliopsida; Malpighiales; Euphorbiaceae
Exons: 2
Source: RefSeq, a predicted model, not a curated record
AAGCGCCGAAGCUGAAUAUCGUGCAAUGGCUUCCACUGCAAGCGAACUCAUUUGGAUCAAACAAGUCCUAAAAAAUAUGAAAGUUGAAAGUAAAGAACCAAUGCAAAUGUAUUGCGAUAAUCAAGCUGCUCGACACAUCGUAUCAAAUCCGGUGUUUCACGAACAAACCAAACACAUUGAAGUUGAUUGUCACUUCAUCAGAGAAAAGGUUCAAAAGGGAGAGAUUGAGACCCCCUACAUCAGAAGUCAAGACCAACUGGCAGACAUAUUCACAAAGGCCCUUGAUAGGCAGAAUCAUCAUUCGAUCCUCAACAAGAUGGGUUCCAUAAAUUUACUCGCCACCUUGAGGGGGAGUGUUGAAGAAAGAAGAAAAGAAACUGAGGUCUCAGAGGCUGCACAAGCUAGGUUGCUUGUGCAGACCUAUCAUCACAGACCUCAGGGUAAAAAGGAGCAUCAUUUCCUACAAAGCAGGAAAGGUCACUUCAACCCAUGCCCUAUUCAGAAAGAGUCGUUAGGCAACCGUUAGGAUAGAACACAAAUAAGCAAAUCAUGUAUAUAUAUCUUGCAUCCCACUGUAAAAGAACUCAGAAUCCUUGUUUUUAAUUCAAUAUACUUCAUUGUUCUUUUCACACUCUUUCUUUCAUCUCGCUUAUGUGCAUAGCUGAAGAUUGGUCACAAUGUUUAGCAAACUAUUGCCGCAGACAACAAUUAAUCUUUAUCUUCUUCCUAAAUUGUGCACUUUAUAGCUUCCCCUUUUUGUCAGUGUUUGGGGUUGGCCUGAUGCAGACAUAUAAGCACAAAGCGGAAAAGAUCUAAAACGUACUAUUAAAUUUUUUUGACUGUUAUAUUUGGUAAAAAUUAAAAUCAAAAUAAACUGGAGUUGGUCCACGCACUGUUCUUGAUGAUUUAAUCAGAUAAGUUGCUCACUGUCUUUUAAUUUCAUUUUUGGCAUCCUAAGAAUAAACAGCCUAUUCUUAUUUGAAAUUCUGAAUUCUUCUUUGGUUCUUCCAUUUAUCUCUCUUUUACAGUUUGGCUAUUGUUGCAUAUGAUGCAGAUCAGUGUUUUGUCUAUCCCAAUCAGAUAAUUCCUCAUCAUCAGAUCGUAAGAGAAAGGUUCCAGAAACAGUCACUCUUCCAGAAGCCUUAUUUUAGUGAAGAUGCUGCAUGCAAGAAACAAGCCAGAUAUGUACUGAACUUCACAGAGUCCUUUGAUAUGAAUAUGGAUUUGAGUUUUGAUGAUAUUUGAAGUAUUUACUGCCUGGCCUCCCCACCUUCAAUUCCUCUUGCAUUUCUUUUUCCAUUGGAUAAGAAGCUGUAAAUGUAUUUGCAGCUUAUUAGUUGUUUUAAAGUAUUUUUCCAGCAAAUAUGACAGGCUCAGGCUUCUUAAUGAUUGCAUUUUUCAUUUCUUUUGUUCACCAGAAACUUGAGAAUUUUUAGCAUUGCUAGCAUUAUUUUAACUUCUGAUCAUAAUAUAGCUUUAUCAUCUGUUCUUUGUAGAUCAUUGUUGCUA